GCAGACGCCAGAUUAACCAUGUAUCCUUUUAGGCUGUGACAACGAAAAGGUAGCAGACAGAUCUACAGUAUGUUUUAGCAUGGCUGUGACAAAGAAAAGGUAGCAGACAGAUCUACAGUAUGUUUUAGCAUGGUUGUGACAACGAAAAGGUAGCAGACAGAUCUACAGUAUGUUUUAGCAUGGCUGUGACAACGAAAAGGCAGCAGACAGAUCUGCAGUAUAUUUUAGCAUGGAAGUUUGGUAGGGUGACCGGAUUUGUAACUGAAAAUAAUUUAGCAAACAGACUGUGAACCGAAAAGUGUAUGUUUGAUUCUAGAGGGGGACAAUAAAUAAUUUGGUUAGGGUGUAGAGGCAGAUAUGUCAUCUUGUUUUCAGGAGAUUUUAUUAUCUAUUUACAUGAUUUAGUCUGAUCAGUGGAACAAUUCUUACCAAUGGGCUAAAAUAUAGGGUCUUUAGUGUGCUUGUCAGCUAGAACACUACUAUUAUUCCCCACACUUAUUUCACUAUUCCACUUUUUCCCAUUUUUGUCAGUGUAAUCACAUAUUUUAAAUCUGUUAUGACUACUUGUGUCUUUUGAAAAGGAAUUAUAUGAGGCUAUGUAUUAUUGCAGCCAUUAAU
This is a long non-coding RNA of Oncorhynchus tshawytscha (Chinook salmon), 618 nucleotides long. NCBI's taxonomy places the organism in Eukaryota, Metazoa, Chordata, Actinopteri, Salmoniformes, Salmonidae. The record is from Ensembl.